AAUAUCUGUAUGAAAAACACAAAAAUGAAAAGGGAAAACAGACAAUUGAUGAGACUGAAAACGGAGACGAAGACUUAGAUGAUGAUGAUGACAUAGCCACAUUGGUCAAGUGAAAGGUUUGCAGCUAGAAAGUGGAAGUUUUGUUGUGCUAAGGCAUAGAAGAAAAAAAAAAUCACACACACAACGAAAAUACAUACAUAUGCAUGUACAUAUUACACAGAUACUCAGAAGGUUGACCUACUUCAGACCAUUAGCGAGCGUUGGAGGCAUGCAAAAAUGUCUCUCCAAGUGUACUUUGGUCGAUCGGUCCCAUGGCCCAUUUCCCUAAUCCCCCAAAAACCGGUUUGUCACUUCUUCUCUUUCAAUACGUUCUUUACUCUCUUAUUUGUUUACUUUUAGCGGUGUUGGCCAUUGGCUCCAAGUGGGAAGCAUAACUGUAAGUCACACACACCCAAAAUGCCUGGACAACGAUUGAAUUGAAUUUGCCAGGCACGGACUAAGACUGCUUUUAGGCGCCGGAAAAGCUUAUUGAAACAGUAACUGAACAAAAAGGGUACUGGGAGAGGUAGGCAGGCAUCCGACCCUGGAAUUUUGAUUUUGUGUGUUAACCAAUCUGAUUAACAAUCGUGUUCUAAAAGAUUUCAAUAACACAAAAAGUGUGUCAAAAGGUAGACAGCGGUCUAACGGUAACCGUUCAGGUUUAGCACACAAGCCAACAACCACCAUACCAUCAUAACAACAACAACAACAACAACUACCACACCAACAAUAUCGGCCAGCAGCUGUUCAGAAUCGAAUCGAAUUCUAAAGCGAAUGAAAUCGCAGCAAGGUGCUAACUGCAUUUGGGUAAAAUGACCGAGACCGUUAAAUAAAGCAGAACAGAACGUGAUCUACAAUUAAAGCUACCCACGAAAAUGCCACGUCGUAAGCUCACCUCAAAUACACAUCAGGAUUGGCCAGAUAACUUGCCCAAUCGGCCAAAUACAAAGUGGCCGAUUUAAUCCAGCGGCGACGGAACGAUUGAUUAUUCAGAGAUUCAAAGAGCUUAUCAUAGUCCAAUUUGCCAUCGCUGCUCUUGAAGCCCUGCAAAUAGUUGUUAUAGAAUGUUUUCAAAGAUUUUCUUAGAUAUAUCUAUGUAUGUUUAUAUAUCCAUCCUA
Molecule: long non-coding RNA, 1157 nt
Organism: Drosophila willistoni
Lineage: Eukaryota; Metazoa; Arthropoda; Insecta; Diptera; Drosophilidae
Exons: 2
Source: RefSeq, a predicted model, not a curated record